GGGCGUANGGGCUCGCAGGCGGUUUCUUAAGUCUGAUGUGAAAGCCCCCGGCUCAACCGGGGAGGGUCAUUGGAAACUGGGGAACUUGAGUGCAGAAGAGGAGAGUGGAAUUCCACGUGUAGCGGUGAAAUGCGUAGAGAUGUGGAGGAACACCAGUGGCGAAGGCGACUCUCUGGUCUGUAACUGACGCUGAGGAGCGAAAGCGUGGGGAGCGAACAGGAUUAGAUACCCUGGUAGUCCACGCCGUAAACGAUGAGUGCUAAGUGUUAGGGGGUUUCCGCCCCUUAGUGCUGCAGCUAACGCAUUAAGCACUCCGCCUGGGGAGUACGGUCGCAAGACUGAAACUCAAAGGAAUUGACGGGGGCCCGCACAAGCGGUGGAGCAUGUGGUUUAAUUCGAAGCAACGCGAAGAACCUUACCAGGUCUUGACAUCCUCUGACAAUCCUAGAGAUAGGACGUCCCCUUCGGGGGCAGAGUGACAGGUGGUGCAUGGUUGUCGUCAGCUCGUGUCGUGAGAUGUUGGGUUAAGUCCCGCAACGAGCGCAACCCUUGAUCUUAGUUGCCAGCAUUCAGUUGGGCACUCUAAGGUGACUGCCGGUGACAAACCGGAGGAAGGUGGGGAUGACGUCAAAUCAUCAUGCCCCUUAUGACCUGGGCUACACACGUGCUACAAUGGACAGAACAAAGGGCAGCGAAACCGCGAGGUUAAGCCAAUCCCACAAAUCUGUUCUCAGUUCGGAUCGCAGUCUGCAACUCGACUGCGUGAAGCUGGAAUCGCUAGUAAUCGCGGAUCA
This 794-nucleotide ribosomal RNA is filed under the name Bacillus sp. LA_15. RNAcentral describes it as "bacterial SSU rRNA". It matches the Rfam family "Bacterial small subunit ribosomal RNA", at positions 556 to 1351 of the family's 1533-position model. The record is from RNAcentral. Lineage: Bacteria; Bacillati; Bacillota; Bacilli; Caryophanales; Bacillaceae.